This 289-nucleotide long non-coding RNA is filed under the name Nicotiana benthamiana. RNAcentral's name for it is "long non-coding RNA (NBEN_LNC010194)". The record is from RNAcentral. Lineage: Eukaryota; Viridiplantae; Streptophyta; Magnoliopsida; Solanales; Solanaceae.
UAUUCCUAUCUGGCAUCUCUUUGAAAACUUCAAUUGCAUCUUUCAUGGACCCACAUUUUGCAUACAUGUCUACAAGAACACUUCCAGAUAAAACACUAGACAUCAAUCCCAGUCUGAUCACAGAAGAACGUAAUUGCUUUCCAAGAGAGACUGAAGUCAAACUUGCCGAAGCCAGAAAAAACACUAGACAUCAAUCCCAGUCUGAUCACAAAAGAAUGUAAUUGCUUCCCAAGAGAGACUGAAGCCAAACUUGCUGAAGCUUUUAAAGUGAUAGCAAAAGUUGCCUGGU